RNAcentral lists this ribosomal RNA (406 nucleotides) under uncultured bacterium. Its description in RNAcentral is "partial 16S ribosomal RNA". It matches the Rfam family "Bacterial small subunit ribosomal RNA", at positions 29 to 526 of the family's 1533-position model. The record is from RNAcentral.
AUUGAACGCUGGCGGCAGGCCUAACACAUGCAAGUCGAGCGAGCGGCGGACGGGUGAGUAAUGUCUGGGAAACUGCCUGAUGGAGGGGGAUAACUACUGGAAACGGUAGCUAAUACCGCAUACCAUCAGAUGUGCCCAGCUGGGAGUAGCUAGUAGGUGGGGUAACGGCUCACCUAGGCGACGAUCCCUAGCUGGUCUGAGAGGAUGACCAGCCACACUGUAAAUGAGAAACGGGCGAGACUCCGAUGGGAUGCAGCAGUGGGGAAUAUUGCACAAUGGGCGCAGUCCUGAGGCAGCCCUGCCGGGGGUGGGAAGAGGGCCUUCGGGUUGUAAGGCACGUUCAGCGGGGAGGCGUUACCCGCAGAAGAAGCACCGGCUAACUCCGGGCCAGCAGCCGCGGUAAUUC